RNAcentral lists this ribosomal RNA (449 nucleotides) under uncultured bacterium. RNAcentral describes it as "partial 16S ribosomal RNA". It matches the Rfam family "Bacterial small subunit ribosomal RNA", at positions 29 to 523 of the family's 1533-position model. The record is from RNAcentral.
AACGAACGCUGGCGGCAGGCCUAACACAUGCAAGUCGAACGCUGUAGCAAUACAGAGUGGUAGACGGGUGAGUAACGCGUGGGAACCUUCCCAAUGGUGCGGAAUAGCCCAGGGAAACUUGGGGUAAUACCGCAUAAGCCCUUAGGGGGAAAGAUUUAUCGCCAUUGGAUGGGCCCGCGUCGGAUUAGCUAGUUGGUGAGGUAAUGGCUCACCAAGGCAACGAUCCGUAGCUGGUUUGAGAGAAUGACCAGCCACACUGGGACCGAGACACGGCCCAGACUCCUACGGGAGGCAGCAGUGGGGAAUCUUGGACAAUGGGCGCAAGCCUGAUCCAGCCAUGCCGCGUGAGUGACGAAGGCCUUAGGGUUGUAAAGCUCUUUUGCCGGGGACGAUAAUGACGGUACCCGGAGAAUAAGUCCCGGCUAACUUCGUGCCAGCCGCCGCAGUAA